GGAAUGGAAAACACUUUGGAGUCCAGUAUUGCUAUUAACUAAUGGUCUGCCCUUGGGAUCGAGGAUGACUCACAUUCACCCUGGUACCGUCAGAGGAAACCAUGGUCCUCAGUAGCAAGUUAGCAGGAGGCCUUUCUCUCAUGAACGUUGAGCAUACGGCCCUUUCUCUUGUUCUUUUGAAGACCCUGACCUGGAGUUACACGCUGACUUUGGUUCUUUGCAGGAAUGGGACCCACUCUCAGGGCUACGUUUUGACAUCCCA
Long non-coding RNA from Mobula hypostoma (lesser devil ray), 262 nucleotides. RefSeq lists it as uncharacterized. The transcript is spliced from 3 exons. The record is from RefSeq and is a predicted model, not a curated record. NCBI's taxonomy places the organism in Eukaryota, Metazoa, Chordata, Chondrichthyes, Myliobatiformes, Myliobatidae.